Molecule: transfer RNA, 71 nt
Filed under: Dipodomys ordii (Ord's kangaroo rat)
Lineage: Eukaryota; Metazoa; Chordata; Mammalia; Rodentia; Heteromyidae
Rfam family: tRNA
About the family: Transfer RNA (tRNA) molecules are approximately 80 nucleotides in length. Their secondary structure includes four short double-helical elements and three loops (D, anti-codon, and T loops). Further hydrogen bonds mediate the characteristic L-shaped molecular structure. tRNAs have two regions of fundamental functional importance: the anti-codon, which is responsible for specific mRNA codon recognition, and the 3' end, to which the tRNAs corresponding amino acid is attached (by aminoacyl-tRNA synthetases). tRNAs cope with the degeneracy of the genetic code in two manners: having more than one tRNA (with a specific anti-codon) for a particular amino acid; and 'wobble' base-pairing, i.e. permitting non-standard base-pairing at the 3rd anti-codon position.
Source: Rfam by way of RNAcentral
GAGGUUGGCUCAAAUGAUAGAGCACCUGCCUAGCAAGCAUGAGGUUCUGAGUUCAGUCCUCAGUAAUGUCA